UGGCCUGGUUGGCCGGCGGGGCUGCGCCGGUGAUGGCGGCGGGGUCGGGGCAAGAAUCGACCGGCGUUCUCGACGGCGCCAAGCUGG
This 87-nucleotide transfer RNA is filed under the name Pseudomonas sp. Cab53. Its description in RNAcentral is "tRNA-Ile". The record is from RNAcentral. Lineage: Bacteria; Pseudomonadati; Pseudomonadota; Gammaproteobacteria; Pseudomonadales; Pseudomonadaceae.